GUCUACGGCCAUGCUACCCUGAACAAGCCUGAUCUCGUCUGAUCUCGGAAGCUAAACAGGGUUGGGCCUGGUUAGUACUUGGAUGGGAGACCACCUAGCAAGACCAGGUGCUGUAAAAA
RNAcentral lists this ribosomal RNA (119 nucleotides) under Pteropus alecto (black flying fox). The record is from RNAcentral. Lineage: Eukaryota; Metazoa; Chordata; Mammalia; Chiroptera; Pteropodidae.